AGCGGGUUAGUGUAAAUGGUCAACACAUUUGACUCAUGAUCAAAACAUAGAGGUUCAAAUCCUUUAUCCGCUU
Molecule: transfer RNA, 73 nt
Filed under: Nocardioides sp.
Lineage: Bacteria; Bacillati; Actinomycetota; Actinomycetes; Propionibacteriales; Nocardioidaceae
Description: tRNA-Met
Rfam family: tRNA
About the family: Transfer RNA (tRNA) molecules are approximately 80 nucleotides in length. Their secondary structure includes four short double-helical elements and three loops (D, anti-codon, and T loops).
Source: RNAcentral